ACAACCUGAUCCCUUCCCGAACUCAGAAGUGAAACCUCUUAGCGCUGAUGGUAGUGUGGGAUUACCCAUGUGAGAGUAAGUCAUCGCCAGCU
This 92-nucleotide ribosomal RNA is filed under the name Acinetobacter baumannii. Lineage: Bacteria; Pseudomonadati; Pseudomonadota; Gammaproteobacteria; Moraxellales; Moraxellaceae. The record is from RNAcentral.